GACCACAUCACUGACGCUCAUGCACGAAAGCGUGGGUAUCGAACAGGAUUAGAUACCUGGUAGUCCACGCAGUAAACGAUGAUGACUAGCUGUCCGGGGCGAUUGUGCUCUGGGCGGCACAGCGAAAGCGUUAAGUCAUCCACCUGGGGAGUACGCCGGCAACGGUGAAACUCAAAGGAAUUGACGGGGGCCCGCACAAGCGGAGGAACAUGUGGUUUAAUUCGAUGAUACGCGAGGAACCUUACCCGGGCUCAAACGACAGUGGACCGCACCUGAAAGGGUGCUUCCAGCAAUGGCCGCUGUCGAGGUGCUGCAUGGUUGUCGUCAGCUCGUGCCGUGAGGUGUCGGCUUAAGUGCCAUAACGAGCGCAACCCCCAUCUUCAGUUGCCACCGCGUAAUGGCGGGCACUCUGGAGAGACUGCCGGCGCAAGCUGUGAGGAAGGCGGGGAUGACGUCAAAUCAGCACGGCCCUUACGUCCGGGGCGACACACGUGUUACAAUGGCGGGGCACAGAAGGAAGCCAGGCGGCGACGCCGAGCCGAUCCCAAAAACCCGUCUCAGUUCGGAUCGGAGUCUGCAACCCGACUCCGUGAAGCUGGA
Molecule: ribosomal RNA, 600 nt
Filed under: uncultured bacterium
Lineage: Bacteria
Description: bacterial SSU rRNA
Rfam family: Bacterial small subunit ribosomal RNA
Source: RNAcentral